RNAcentral lists this ribosomal RNA (433 nucleotides) under uncultured bacterium. Its description in RNAcentral is "partial 16S ribosomal RNA". It matches the Rfam family "Bacterial small subunit ribosomal RNA", at positions 29 to 507 of the family's 1533-position model. The record is from RNAcentral.
AACGAACGCUGGCGGCAGGCUUAACACAUGCAAGUCGAGCGCAUCCUUCGGGGUGAGCGGCGGACGGGUGAGUAACGCGUGGGAACGUGCCCUCUUCUACGGAAUAGCCUCGGGAAACUGAGAGUAAUGCCGUAUACGCCCGCAAGGGGAAAGAUUUAUCGGAGGAGGAUCGGCCCGCGUUGGAUUAGGUAGUUGGUGGGGUAACGGCCUACCAAGCCGACGAUCCAUAGCUGGUUUGAGAGGAUGAUCAGCCACACUGGGACUGAGACACGGCCCAGACUCCUACGGGAGGCAGCAGCGGGGAAUCUUGGACAAUGGGGGCAACCCUGAGCCAGCCAUGCCGCGUGAUCGAUGAAGGCCUUAGGGUUGUAAAGAUCUUUCAGCUGGGAAGAUAAUGACGGUACCAGCAGAAGAAGCCCCGGCUAACUCCGUG